This 497-nucleotide ribosomal RNA is filed under the name uncultured bacterium. RNAcentral's name for it is "partial 16S ribosomal RNA". It matches the Rfam family "Bacterial small subunit ribosomal RNA", at positions 28 to 507 of the family's 1533-position model. The record is from RNAcentral.
GAUGAACGCUGGCGGCGUGCCUAACACAUGCAAGUCGAGCGAACAGACGAGGAGCUUGUUCCUUUGACGUUAGCGGCGGACGGGUGAGUAACACGUGGAUAACCUACUUAUAUUACUGGGAUAAUUUCGGGAAACCGGAGAUAAUACCGGAGAAUAUAUUGAACCGCAUGGUGCAAUAGAGAAAGACGGCUUUGCUGUCUCUUAUAGAUGGAUCCGCGCCGCAUUAGCUAGUUGGUAAGGUAACGGCUUACCAAGGCAACGAUGCGUAGCCGAGCGGAGAGGGUGAUCGGCCACACUGGAACUGGACCGCGGUCCAGGCUCCUGAGGGAGGCAGCAGUAGGGAAUCUUCCGCAAUGGGCGAAAGCCUGACGGAACGACGCCGCGUGAGUGAUAGAGGUCUUCGGAUCGUAAAACUCUGUUAUUAGGGAAGAACAAAUGUGUAAUUAACUAUGCACGUCUUGACGGUACCUAAUCAAAAAGCCCCGGCUAACUACGUG